This 462-nucleotide ribosomal RNA is filed under the name uncultured bacterium. RNAcentral describes it as "partial 16S ribosomal RNA". It matches the Rfam family "Bacterial small subunit ribosomal RNA", at positions 28 to 506 of the family's 1533-position model. The record is from RNAcentral.
GACGAACGCUGGCGGCGUGCUUAACACAUGCAAGUCGAACGGAAAGGCCUUUUCGGAGGUACUCGAGUGGCGAACGGGUGAGUAACACGUGGGUGAUCUGCCCUGCACUCUGGGAUAAGCCUGGGAAACUGGGUCUAAUACCGGAUAGGACCGCACUUUAGUGUGUGUGGUGGAAAGUUUUUUCGGUGUAGGAUGAGCCCGCGGCCUAUCAGCUUGUUGGUGGGGUAAUGGCCUACCAAGGCGGCGACGGGUAGCCGGACUGAGAGGUUGGUCGGCCACAUUGGGACUGAGAUACGGCCCAGACUCCUACGGGAGGCAGCAGUGGGGAAUAUUGCACAAUGGGCGCAAGCCUGAUGCAGCGACGCCGCGUGGGGGAUGACGGCCUUCGGGUUGUAAACUACUUUCGCCAGGGACGAAGCGUUUUGUGACGGUACCUGGAGAAGAAGCACCGGCUAACUACGU